RNAcentral lists this unclassified non-coding RNA (231 nucleotides) under plant metagenome. RNAcentral's name for it is "partial contains small subunit ribosomal RNA, internal transcribed spacer 1, and 5.8S ribosomal RNA". The stretch from base 183 to 231 matches the Rfam family "5.8S ribosomal RNA", at positions 1 to 49 of the family's 154-position model. The record is from RNAcentral.
UUUCCGUAGGUGAACUUGCGGAAGGAUCAUUCAUAAUAAAGUGUUUUAUGGCACUUUUUAAAAAUCCAUAUCCACCUUGUGUGCAAUGUUAGAUCUCGUCAAUCUUGGCGAGAUUUUUAUACAUCAACUCAUUCUUUAACUAAUUUGUCUGAAAAAUAUUAUGAAUACUUAAUUCAAAAUACAACUUUCAACAACGGAUCUCUUGGCUCUCGCAUGGAUGAAGAACGCAGC